AGCCAUUUGAAAGACACUGCUGUGCAAGGCAAACCCUGGCUGGGGACAGCAAGGCUCGUUUUAGCAUACGCACUGCUGGAAGCAGACAUAUGCUAUCAUAUCAGGAGUUGCAGAUGAUUCCUGGCUGCAUAUUUCCCACAAAUCCUCGGCCCGAACCUGCUUGGAGCCCAGGAUAUCGCCCUGUUUCAUGGAACUCACUCUCGUGUCUCCCAUAAACAAAGCAGCACAGGCAACUGGCCUUUUAAAGCUAUCAAAAUGUGAUCCUUUUUAUGAUCAACGUUGACUGCAAAGGCCAAUUUCAAAUCUGGAAGAGCUCAGUGAAAGAAAUAAGAUUCAGUGCAUGACAUUUGCAAAGAGGAGGAUACUGAAGAAACACCUGACAUAAUCGUAAAGCAGGAUCAAAAUCAUCUGGGCAAUUCACAGGAAGAGCGCUCCCUCACGUGCCAGCUUACCUCAUCUCAACUGCAGCCUAAACUACCAGUUAGAGUUCUGUUCCACUGCAAUAGAGUUUAUCUCACAUUCCCAUGUCCCCAGGAGACUGGCCACCAUGCUAUGCUGAAAAAUGUCACUGUUUGUUGGAAGAUGAAUAUGUAAAUAAAUGAGCCGUGCUACUGGUUUCUUCCAAAGAAGGAGAUAGAGGGCAGAAGAGAGGUCAACGGAACAAUGGGUACGCUCUGGGAGGACCAAGGGGGAUGAAAGGUCAGUUAUAAAGAGGAGGGAGAAGCUGAGCUGAGUUUUUCUUUCAAACUAAUUUUGGUUCACAUAACCCAGAAAGGAACUUUAUUGGGAGGGCAUAAGAUUGAUCACAGAUUCAAAGGGAAAGACAGGAAUGAAAACAGCAGCUUCAGGGAGGUAUUAGUUGCCAAGCAACAACACUGUUUAGCCUUUGGGACUCAUGAUGCCUGUCCCUAAGGAGAACACAGCACUAGCCUAGACUUUUGGCCAGCCCACCUUCGAGCCUGGGCGACACCGUGCACCUUGAUGGACAGCCCUGCCUAAAAUGAUCUCUUGGAGUAGCAAGAUGUUGGGUGUUGUGAGAAGAUGGAGGGGGUGGGUGCUGAGCAGAUGAAAGCAGCCUGUGCCCAUCACAGUGAGUGGAGAUGAAAGUGGCCAAGGCCAUCCAGAGAGCCAGAGGAGUCUAGCCACGGCACGGGGACGAGGACACCAUGUUCCGUGGUUCAGUGUGAACCUAUUAGUUACCAU
This 1203-nucleotide long non-coding RNA is filed under the name Dasypus novemcinctus (nine-banded armadillo). RNAcentral's name for it is "lncRNA (ENSDNOG00000050166.1)". Lineage: Eukaryota; Metazoa; Chordata; Mammalia; Cingulata; Dasypodidae. The record is from RNAcentral.